AAAUGACUCUAUGGUGUUGUACAUGGCAAACCAAAGAUCAUGUUUGGUACUAUCUUAGGUAGCAACUAAUAAGCUAAAAGAAGAACGGAAACUUAAUAAAGGUGUUGAAUCACAUAUAAUUCAUGCUGCCCUUGAUAAUGGAUCAAUCAGCUUUUCCUAAGUUAAACAAUAGUGAAAUUCCAGUAGCCUAAAGGCCUGAUUUGCACAUAUAGGAUAUAAGAUUAUAUGAUCAAGAAUAGCUACAUGGAUGCUACCCAGCACGAGACACUACUUUUUG
This 277-nucleotide ribosomal RNA is filed under the name Triticum aestivum (bread wheat). Its description in RNAcentral is "partial small subunit ribosomal RNA". The record is from RNAcentral. Lineage: Eukaryota; Viridiplantae; Streptophyta; Magnoliopsida; Poales; Poaceae.